GUUCAGGCUCCUUUCUCUUGGUUCUUGUGGAAGAACUUCCCACUGCCUGCUGACCCUAUGCAGAUCUUCAGCUUUGUACUUCAUGAGAGGUAUAAAGACCAGAGAUGUUUAUCUAGACUUUUUGCUUUUCAGAAAAAAAGCACUUUUUCCCUGCUGUCUGAACUACACACAAAAGAUGUUCAGGAAAGACAAAUUCAACUAAAAGCAAAGCUACUACUUACACACAUCUCCAGAUCUCAAGUUGAAUUGGCACUGUUGGCUAUGAGCUUGUCAACUGACUUCAUCAGUCAGAACCUUCCACAGAGCGCAGAAAGCAAUGACAGACCAUGGGCUCA
Molecule: long non-coding RNA, 335 nt
Filed under: Gallus gallus (chicken)
Lineage: Eukaryota; Metazoa; Chordata; Aves; Galliformes; Phasianidae
Source: RNAcentral